UUUGACAGACAGUUUGCCUCUGAAUAUCGUUGUUGUUGUUGGGGCGAUUUCUGUCCGGUUGAAAAUCGCCCAGAUCGCUCUCAUAGACUUUCAUGUUAAGGUAGUUUUUUUCGAGCUGCGGGCGCUGCAAUGUAAUCUCUAUGGCUUCCGGAAGGGCUGCACUUGCGUGUUUACGUCAUGCGCCCAGCAGCAGAGCUACGCUUCUGCCACCUGAAAACGAUUCCGCAGUCCUCCAGCUUGUUGCUCUCAUCAGCUGCUGUUUUAACUAAAAGUACAUUCAGACUGAAAAUUCAACCAUGGUUUUGCAUCGGGAGAUGCAGGGACUUUACCAGUGAAACCACAGAAGAAAGAGGAGGUUGCAUGAAGUGACCAUCAUUGGCCUCUUUGUCAGAGGAGAAGAAGAAGGAAAGAGGAAGAAUGGGAGACCUGCACAUACCCCAUCUUUACUAUGUGAUUAUAAAGCAUGGGAGAACAGUGGAUACUUUUAAUACAGCCCACACCCCUAUUAUUACUGUGUAACUACAGGAUAACAAGUGGAGAACAUUUAAGAUUUUUUACAACUCUCUGCUUCUUUUAUUAGUGUGUAAAGAAUGAAAAUAAAUACUAUGCUCCUCUGUACCACAUUACAUAUUAAAGAAUAGCUAUGUUUGAUCCACCUUCAUAUACAGUAUAUGUGACAUUAUUACAUUGCUGUAGCCUAUCACUUGAGACGGGUCCCUUGGUUGAAAUGCAAGAUUAACUGUAAAUCAUUUUAUUCAUUUGCACACUAUCAGCCCAGUGGCACUGUGCUGUAUUCUGGAUUUGUUGUACCUAAAUAAAAGGUUUGUCACAGCUAAA
This is a long non-coding RNA of Micropterus dolomieu (smallmouth bass), 837 nucleotides long. RefSeq lists it as uncharacterized. Lineage: Eukaryota; Metazoa; Chordata; Actinopteri; Centrarchiformes; Centrarchidae. The transcript is spliced from 3 exons. The record is from RefSeq and is a predicted model, not a curated record.